AGUGAACGCUGGCGGUAGGCCUAACACAUGCAAGUAGAACGGCAGCACAGUAAGAGCUUGCUCUUACGGGUGGCGAGUGGCGGACGGGUGAGGAAUACAUCGGAAUCUACUUUUUCGUGGGGGAUAACGUAGGGAAACUUACGCUAAUACCGCAUACGACCUACGGGUGAAAGCAGGGGAUCUUCGGACCUUGCGCGAUUGAAUGAGCCGAUGUCGGAUUAGCUAGUUGGCGGGGUAAAGGCCCACCAAGGCGACGAUCCGUAGCUGGUCUGAGAGGAUGAUCAGCCACACUGGAACUGAGACACGGUCCAGACUCCUACGGGAGGCAGCAGUGGGGAAUAUUGGACAAUGGGCGCAAGCCUGAUCCAGCCAUAUCGCGUGGGUGAAGAAGGCCUUCGGGUUGUAAAGCCCUUUUGUUGGGAAAGAAAAGCAGCAGGUUAAUACCCCGCUGUUCUGACGGUACCCAAAGAAUAAGCACCGGCUAACUUCGUG
This 492-nucleotide ribosomal RNA is filed under the name uncultured bacterium. Its description in RNAcentral is "partial 16S ribosomal RNA". It matches the Rfam family "Bacterial small subunit ribosomal RNA", at positions 29 to 507 of the family's 1533-position model. The record is from RNAcentral.